ACGAACGCUGGCGGCGUGCUUAACACAUGCAAGUCGAACGGAAAGGCCCUGCUUUUGUGGGUUGCUCGAGUGGCGAACGGGUGAGUAACACGUGAGUAACCUGCCCUUGAAUUUGGGAUAACUUCAGGAAACUGGGGCUAAUACCGGAUAGGAGCUCCUGCUGCAUGGUGGGGGUUGGAAAGUUUCGGCGGUUGGGGAUGGACUCGCGGCUUAUCAGCUUGUUGGUGGGGUAGUGGCUUACCAAGGCUUUGACGGGAAGCCGGCCUGAGAGGGUGACCGGCCACAUUGGGACUGAGAUACGGCCCAGACUCCUACGGGAGGCAGCAGUGGGGAAUAUUGCACAAUGGGCGGAAGCCUGAUGCAGCAACGCCGCGUGCGGGAUGACGGCCUUCGGGUUGUAAACCGCUUUCGCCUGUGACGAAGCGUGAGUGACGGUAAUGGGUAAAGAAGCACCGGCUAACUACGUG
RNAcentral lists this ribosomal RNA (467 nucleotides) under uncultured bacterium. RNAcentral describes it as "partial 16S ribosomal RNA". It matches the Rfam family "Bacterial small subunit ribosomal RNA", at positions 29 to 507 of the family's 1533-position model. The record is from RNAcentral.